GGAAUAUUGGUCAAUGGGCGAGAGCCUGAACCAGCCAAGUAGCGUGCAGGAUGACGGCCCUAUGGGUUGUAAACUGCUUUUGUGCGGGAAUAAAGUCAGGGACGUGUCCCUGUUUGCAUGUACCGCAAGAAUAAGGACCGGCUAAUUCCGUGCCAGCAGCCGCGGUAAUACGGAAGGUCCGGGCGUUAUCCGGAUUUAUUGGGUUUAAAGGGAGCGUAGGCCGUCUUUUAAGCGUGUUGUGAAAUGUAGGCGCCCAACGUCCGCACUGCAGCGCGAACUGGAUGACUUGAGUACGCGGGAAGCAGGCGGAAUUCGUCGUGUAGCGGUGAAAUGCUUAGAUAUGACGAAGAACUCCGAUUGCGAAGGCAGCCUGCUGUAGCGCCACUGACGCUGAUGCUCGAAAGCGUGGGUAUCGAACA
Molecule: ribosomal RNA, 419 nt
Filed under: uncultured Prevotella sp.
Lineage: Bacteria; Pseudomonadati; Bacteroidota; Bacteroidia; Bacteroidales; Prevotellaceae
Description: bacterial SSU rRNA
Rfam family: Bacterial small subunit ribosomal RNA
Source: RNAcentral